RNAcentral lists this ribosomal RNA (263 nucleotides) under uncultured bacterium. RNAcentral describes it as "partial 16S ribosomal RNA". It matches the Rfam family "Bacterial small subunit ribosomal RNA", at positions 524 to 785 of the family's 1533-position model. The record is from RNAcentral.
GACGAACCGUGCGAACGUUGUUCGGAAUCACUGGGCUUAAAGGGCGCGUAGGCGGGCUGCCGCGUCCGGGGUGAAAUCCUCCCGCUCAACGGGAGAACGGCCUCGGAUACGGGCGGCCUCGAGGGGGGGUAGGGGCAUCUGGAACUGUGGGUGGAGCGGUGAAAUGCGUUGAUAUCCACAGGAACUCCGGUGGCGAAGGCGAGGUGCUGGACCCCUUCUGACGCUGAGGCGCGAAAGCCAGGGGAGCGAACGGGGAUUAAGAU